Molecule: ribosomal RNA, 433 nt
Filed under: uncultured bacterium
Lineage: Bacteria
Description: partial 16S ribosomal RNA
Rfam family: Bacterial small subunit ribosomal RNA
Source: RNAcentral
AACGAACGCUGGCGGCAUGCCUAACACAUGCGAGUCGAACGAGACCUCCGGGUCUAGUGGCGCACGGGUGCGUACCGCGUGGGAACCUGCCCUUAGGUUCGGAAUAACUCCCUGAAAGGGGUGCUAAUACCGCUUAAUGUCUUCGGACCAAAGAUUUAUCGCCUUUGGAUGGGCCCGCGUUGGAUUAGCUAGUUGGUAGGGUAAAAGCCUACCAAGGCGAUGAUCCAUAGCUGGUCUGAGAGGAUGAUCAGCCACACUGGGACUGAGACACGGCCCAGACUCCGACGGGAGGGAGCAGAGGGGAAUAUUGUACAAGGGGGGAAAGCCUGAUCCAGCAGUGCCGCGUGAGUGAUGAAGGCCGUAGGGUUGUAAAGCUCUUUGACCCGGAAUGAUAAUGACAGUACCGGGAGAAGAAGCACCGGCUAACUCCGUG